AAACAAUAAUUAUUGUUCAAUAGGGAAUUAAUUUCUACAUGUUAAUGACGUUUUCCUAGACCUAGACUAGACCUCACAAAAAUCAAAUUUUAUAGUUAUAAACGCGCCCGCUUGGUGCGUUCAUCCACCAAAGUCCACAACACGUCAACACCACAACCCCGAGAUUUGAGAAUGUUGUCUGCUUUGAACUUUGUUUUAAGUUCUGAAAACUGUGAUUUUCACUAUUAAUUGAAUUACGUAUAAUCUAAAAACGUUCUGAAUUUGUGUUAUUACAAAUUAUAGUGACUAUAGCAGGGUAAAAUAUUGUAACAUAAAACAAUGUUUCAAUGGAAGCCAACUUUUUUACAAAGGCCCAGUCCUCCAACUGCAGAGCAACAGGAAAAAGACAUGAUGAAUUGUGUUAACAACUCAGAUGUAGUCCAGGCUCUGGAUAUGCAAGAUAAUGUAUGUUCAGUAAAUGCAGGAACAAAUGAAUGGACCCAAAAAUUAAAUGACCUACUUAUUUAUAAGAAAAAUUUAGACACCAGCAUUCAAGAUCUGAAUACCAGAUUCCCAGAACUUACAAAGAUAUCAAAUGAAUUGCAAAAUAUGUCUGAUAAUGUAAAAUUAAAGGCUUACCAAUCAAUAAAUUAAGAUAAGGCAACUGA
Daphnia pulicaria is the source of this 647-nucleotide long non-coding RNA. RefSeq lists it as uncharacterized. The transcript is spliced from 2 exons. NCBI's taxonomy places the organism in Eukaryota, Metazoa, Arthropoda, Branchiopoda, Diplostraca, Daphniidae. The record is from RefSeq and is a predicted model, not a curated record.